CUUUUUUUAACUACAGUUUCUAAUUCACUCAGAGGAACAAAUUAUGUUUUAUGGCCAUUUAUAAAAUAUUCAUGCCCUCCUCCCCCAGCACUCUCGGCGGUUCAGGAAGCCAGCAAAUGGCCUGCUAGAAGGGGGAUCGCAUUUCCUCCCAGACACAAUUUACAGAGGCAGCCAGGCUCCGGACAAAGGAAAAGGAGGGGCCCUGAUGCUAGAACAGGCUGAAGGAAAGACCCCUGUGCCCUCUGCCUCUCCUGCAACCACAUCUCAGGACACCAAGGGCUUUGAACCAGGAUAGUAGCGAGGGCAGAGUGCAGAGGUGCUGGCUGACACUUCUCUGCGGUGCUUACCUCUUAUGCACUUCUCCUGGCAGGUUCAAGCCUCCGCCAAUCACCCAUACUGCACAGGCCCACCGGGUUUUCUGCAUCCUCUUUAUGUUGUGUCGUUUCCAGGGCAACGGCAAACCGGAGGAGACCGGUGGAGUCUGACCUUCCUCCAGAAGCUCUUUACAGUUCCUGGGAAUAUUUCACCCCGAGAUGGCGGUGCUAAUGGUGAAGCAGGAGCCUAAGGUAUCACCACCUCUCCCUGGGCCUGGUUCUUCUGCAUAGGAAGGAUCUUGGGUUAGAGAAGGAAGACUGGCACAAAAUAAGCCCUAGUUCUAUGGCCCAAUGCGUAGCCUGGCUUUCUGCCCCUGACUUGAGGCUGGCACUGUCUCAGAGAGUCCCUGGGCAUCUGCUCAGUGACUGACGGAAAGAGAUACAUCUCUCCCACAAGCAAAAGCAGAAACAACUCCACCGCCCCACAAACCAACCAGAGUAAAGAAGGGGCCUCGUGCCUUGCUGCCCACGGAGCCCAACUCCUGAUUCUCAGAGGGGGUUCCCAGAAAGACACUGGCUGCAGCUGUGCUGUGACCAGCAUACAAGCAGGGAGGGGAUGCAACACUGGUCACCCCAGGGCUUCUCUCCUCUUCCCCUUCCAUUCCAGAGUAUUCCUGUAUUGCCCCAUACUGUCUUUGAAGGUCCAAGGAAGGGAAAAGGGGGAGGUCUUACAAUAGGAAUUAUCUAAUUCACUCAUCAUUAAAACUCUCAAAAGUAUGUUGAGUUUCCUGUCUAUUUCCAGAGUGAGUUCAUCAGAA
This 1132-nucleotide long non-coding RNA is filed under the name Mus spicilegus (steppe mouse). RNAcentral describes it as "lncRNA (ENSMSIG00000025124.1)". Lineage: Eukaryota; Metazoa; Chordata; Mammalia; Rodentia; Muridae. The record is from RNAcentral.